UAAUACGUAGGGUGCAAGCGUUGUCCGGAAUUAUUGGGCGUAAAGAGCUCGUAGGCGGUCUGUCACGUCGGAUGUGAAAACUCGGGGCUCAACCCCGAGCCUGCAUACGAUACGGGCAGACUUGAGUGUGGCAGGGGAGUCUGGAAUUCCUGGUGUAGCGGUGAAAUGCGCAGAUAUCAGGAGGAACACCGGUGGCGAAGGCGGGACUCUGGGCCAAUACUGACGCUGAGGAGCGAAAGCGUGGGGAGCGAACAGGAUUAGAUACCCUGGUAGUCCACGCCGUAAACGGUGGGUGCUAGGUGUGGGGAACUUUCCACGUUCUCCGUGCCGCAGCUAACGCAUUAAGCACCCCGCCUGGGGAGUACGGCCGCAAGGCUA
RNAcentral lists this ribosomal RNA (378 nucleotides) under uncultured bacterium. Its description in RNAcentral is "bacterial SSU rRNA". It matches the Rfam family "Bacterial small subunit ribosomal RNA", at positions 521 to 896 of the family's 1533-position model. The record is from RNAcentral.